AAAAAGUGUUCCGCUCCACUCCUUCCAAAUGACUGAGCGGGUUAUAGCAGGUGAUCUCUCCGUGCAACAGGUCUCAGUGUCCCGGAUCCAGGCUAUACCACUCGGGAAAGAAGAGUCAAAAGUAAUCAAUGUGGAACUUUUUCGGAGAUGCGUGCUUGGAUGCCGUGCGUUUGUCUCAAACAUUACACUGAAGUUCGCAUCCUCACUCGUGAUAAGAACUUGGGGUUGUCAAUGUUUUCACAUGCGCCCUUAUGAAAUCUGUUCACACAGCGAGCGCGCAGUCGCAACCUCAGGACCAUCUUUUUUUGAGGGGCUCGCCAGUUCUAGAAAAGUACACUACACACCAACUUUCUGCCUCUUAUCUCCGGUCUCCAUUCCAGUGGUCUGCAAGCCCGUGGCUGGACUGUGACUUCUCCGGAGUCCUGUGCGGGAGUUUCUACUUGCGCAGAGCAGUGAGCCCGACACGGAGGUCAUGAGGCAGAUUUUUUAGAGGCAGAGACUGGAUUUUCCAUUAAAAAAAAAAAAAGUCCCUAAAUCUUGUGUAUCUUGGAGGCCAGAGGCUGGAGGCCCAAAGAGCAUCUGAUCGCCUGGAACUGAAGUUACAAGUAGUUGUAAGCUGCCCAAGAUGGAUGUUGGAACUGAACUCAACUUGGAUCCUCUGCAAGAGCAAUAUACACUCUUAAAUUGCUGGGCCAUUUUUUUCCCACUCCCUGAAAACAAACUUUGAGCAAAAGGCUGGUACACAAAAAGAAACAGCUAUAGCUGAGGGUGACCGAAGGGAAGACCGUGAACACUUUGAAGACUUUUAGACAGAGGUCUAUCAUCAGAAAAGGGACUAGCCUUUUCUUCUUUUUAUUGCAGACCUGGCACAGUGUCACCAUCCAAGAGGUGUGUCGUAUUUAACAACUGAAUAGAUAAAUGAACAGAAUAGCAUCAUUUUGAAUCAAGUUGUAAUCAAGGAACAAAACAGUAACGCUUUCAUCAGUUAAGAUCAAAGGCAAGAUAAUUUCCUGGUGGUUCAUUUUCACUAAGAGAUUCUUAGGCCACCCACAGUCUCAUUUACUUAAACAGAAACUCAAGAGGCACUUGG
This 1090-nucleotide long non-coding RNA is filed under the name Cricetulus griseus (Chinese hamster). Its description in RNAcentral is "lncRNA (ENSCGRG00015041571.1)". Lineage: Eukaryota; Metazoa; Chordata; Mammalia; Rodentia; Cricetidae. The record is from RNAcentral.